UUUGUGUUUUCUGCACAAGUUAGGACUGUUUCGGUUUUGGCCACGUUUAUUGUUUUGUAUUAUGUUCAUGUUUUCUUAUUAAAAAACAUGAACUAUAACCACGCUUCGUUUUGGUCCACCUCUCCUUCCCAGGAAGAAAGCCGUUACAGUCUUCUGGAGAAAAAUGUUACGACAGAAGAGAGAGAAGCUGCACGUAUCAAACUAUAGUUAACAAUCAAAUGGCCUACCAAAAUGUCUGAAAUUAUAAGCAGAAACGUGUCUAAAUUCGAGGUGCAAGUAGCCAGUAGUAAAUUAUCAUUAAACAUUAUUAUCGUGGAUGGAACUGCGCAGGUAGCCCAUCUUUUUGACGUGAUUUGUUUGACAAGCAGAUGAAAACAUCCUCACACAACACUCAUGCUGUCAGCCAUUCUUCCACCAUAAUAGACGUGUUUCACCUGAAGAAUGACAGUGGAUCUGGAUUCGUCGAGCGAAGAAGGAAACACUGUCUCCACAUCGUUACAAAACAGGCAUUUAACUUCUCAAUGACAGCAGCAGCAGCAGCGAGUGCAUGCAGGCAUGACAGUGGACAGGCUAAUGUCCCUCUCCCCCUCUCCUCCCUGUGGUGGUGUCUGGAACAUCAGUCUCAUCUGACUCCUGGCACACAACGACCUCCCCCCUCUCCUCUCUUUGAGGGAGGAGGACGCAGAGGAAGGUUCUUUGUGCCGAUUAGGGAGCCUAGACUAAUGUGUCAGUGCCAGCAGAGUGGCCAGGACUGAGGACUCCGCAUUGAUUUUCCCCUGCAGGUGCUGUGGGACUGAGCCCUAUAAUGAUGUGUAAUUGUAAUUGAUUAGUGGUCAUGAGCUGCUCUGUCAACAGAGCUCUGUUCUGGGUCGUACUAUUUAGGCACCAAAUAGAAGAAACGGACUGAAACAGGAAGGGAUCACCUGAACUUGUCAAAUAAGAAAGGUUUCGCUACGGUGUGCUCUAAUGAAUAUGACCGUGACCUGACCUUUCCUCUCCUGGGUCUGUCUGUGACUGUGUGAAAAGAAGAUGUGACGUCCAUCCUUGAGGUGAGACUGAGGUGAAACUCAGUCUUUAGUCUGGCAACACAGUAUCUGGUUCCUUUUCCCUUAUUACUAUGACAAAAUGGAUGGACAAGAGAAAUCAGCAAUUCUGUUUAACUGAACACCACUGUGUGAUUGGGCAUGGCGCAGAUGACUGCAAAGUUCAAAUCAAAGCACUGUUAUUCACAACGACGGUCAAACCACCGAUUCUGUGGUGCGUCAUGGUUCCAAGAAACUCAAGUCAGAAGAUAAGGUAGGAUUUUAUUUGAGUUUCCUCUGUGAAAUGUUA
Molecule: long non-coding RNA, 1332 nt
Organism: Oncorhynchus keta (chum salmon)
Lineage: Eukaryota; Metazoa; Chordata; Actinopteri; Salmoniformes; Salmonidae
Exons: 3
Source: RefSeq, a predicted model, not a curated record